CCUACGGGAGACUGCAGUAGGGAAUAUUGCUCAAUGGGGGAAACCCUGAAGCAGCAACGCCGCGUGGAGGAUGAAGGUUUUCGGAUUGUAAACUCCUUUUGUUAGAGAAGAUAAUGACGGUAUCUAACGAAUAAGCACCGGCUAACUCCGUGCCAGCAGCCGCGGUAAUACGGAGGGUGCAAGCGUUACUCGGAAUCACUGGGCGUAAAGAGCGCGUAGGCGGGAUAGCAAGUCAGAUGUGAAAUCCUAGGGCUUAACCAUAGAACUGCAUUUGAAACUGUUAUUCUAGAGUAUGGGAGAGGUAGGUGGAAUGCUUGGUGUAGGGGUAAAAUCCGUAGAGAUCAAGAGGAAUACUCAUUGCGAAGGCGACCUGCUAGAACAUAACUGACGCUGAUGCGCGAAAGCGUGGGGAGCAAACAGGAUUAGAUACCCUUGUAGUC
This 440-nucleotide ribosomal RNA is filed under the name uncultured bacterium. RNAcentral describes it as "partial 16S ribosomal RNA". It matches the Rfam family "Bacterial small subunit ribosomal RNA", at positions 338 to 795 of the family's 1533-position model. The record is from RNAcentral.